Molecule: small RNA, 28 nt
Filed under: Bombyx mori (domestic silkworm)
Lineage: Eukaryota; Metazoa; Arthropoda; Insecta; Lepidoptera; Bombycidae
Description: ovarian small RNA-7583
Source: RNAcentral
UCGCGAGCGGGGGUCUAGUCUUGAAAAA